Molecule: long non-coding RNA, 44337 nt
Filed under: Sorghum bicolor (sorghum)
Lineage: Eukaryota; Viridiplantae; Streptophyta; Magnoliopsida; Poales; Poaceae
Description: long non-coding RNA (SBIC_LNC010439)
Source: RNAcentral
AUAUAUCUUACUGAGGCUGUUUUAAUUUGCAAAAAAUUCUCAAGCAUACUUACUUUGCAUUUAUUGCCUGAUCAAAACGGGAUCCGAGGCGGGGAAUGUCAUACUCUUAGAUCAAAGACUUUGGAAAUUAAAAUCUUUGUCAACUCUUGCUGGCAUAUUGCUUAUUAGAGGGACCAUGGGCUAUCAUUUUCUUUCUCUUUUUUUUAACUGGAUACCGAGGUAUCCCUAAUUCUACUGCCGGACACUUGUCCAUUUUUCUGCGAGGUUGUCGAGCACUUGCUCCUUUUUAUUUCCUCGAAAUAUCUCUAUUUUUGCAUAGCCCAUGCCUCUAAUGCAAUAAUACUUCGGAAAAGUGAAUCUUUCUGAAUAAAUGUCUUGAUCUUAGGAGCAUGAUAAAUCUCUCAACAAGGGUCUAACUCAUUUUGAACAAACUCAAUACAGAGUCGAUAGCUUUUAUAAUCAUAAUUAAUAUUUUCAGUUUUAUUAGGCAUAUAAAACACUGAGGAUGGUAGCUAGAAUUUUGAAGAUUUUGAAAUAAAUUCUCCAAGUAAUAAUGAUAUCAAGAAUAAGAAACUCAUACUCUACCAUCACAUAUCCCAUAUUGACUUAAGUAACACAGGGUUUUAAAAUGAUUUUAUAAUAGUUGCAAGCUUUCCAGAAAUAUUACAGAUUGAGAUUAAUCAUGAUUAGAAAUAUUUUAAUCUUUUUAUUUUAUCAUGUCGGAAACAAUAUUCUGCAUAAUCCAAAAUGUAUGUGUAAAGUAAAGUGUGCAGAGUGUGUACCUGAAUCGUGGAGUGGUGUGGUCGAAGUGUGUUUGGCAUGUCGAGGGAUCUCCCCCAUACUUGUUUUCUGCUUUCUUGCACAAAAAUAAAGUAGAGACACACAAGACAUAAUAAUAAUAAUAUUCUUUAUUAAUCUUGAGGCAUUUAUUACAAAAGACUAAACUGAUGAUAGAAGUAACAAACUUAGCGGCGCUCUAAUUCCCUAAUCUUCUUGUUGGCACUGGCAAGAUCCUGCCUAAGGCCUAGUACAACGGUGUUGUGGUUAGAGAGCUGCCUAGUGAGGGAAUUAUUCGAGGACUGGAGGUCUAUGAUAACUCUGUCUAAUCUGCGAACGUCCUCAUCAAUAUCCAUUAUAGUCUUGCGACGCUUGGGAGGUGUCUCAAAAGCAUUGAGAGCAUGCUUCGGGGCUGCCUUUGGAGGGAUGAAACAGACUUUGGCUGCUCUAAUCCCUUCAAAGUAAGGCCUUUCCUCCUCCGUAGUGUAGCGAAUACUGCUGAUCUCGCCGCUCAGGUUGGUCUUGACUCCAACGACCCUCUCAUUGGGUCUAGGUGGAAGGAUCCUUGUGCCGGUUGGCACCUUGAUGGUGGUCUUCGUCAUGGAUGAUGAUCCUUUGAGGAGUAGGGGUUGUGGCGGUGCGGUGAGAACUGGUUGAGCAUGGUAAGAUUGGGCAGAGCUGCGUUGGCGUAAUGGCAUGGCUUCUAGUUGUCGCUCUGUGUUGGCCGGGACGAGAGCACGGGCAUCGGGGUCUUCCACCGGCUCCAUGUUGAGGUUGAAGGGGACGACUUCCCAAUCAUCGUGGUACUUCUCGGCCAUUGGAGCAGCAAGGAACUAAUCAAGCUCUAAUUGAAGGAGAGAAGGCUUGGUGGCUUGGUGUUUGAAAACUGAGGUCAGGGGUCUGUUUAUAUAGGGGUCAAAAAGUGCCUCUAUGGGUUGUUCGGGUUGCUCCCGUCGAUGUACGUGCGAAACUUUCCAUCUGAGGGAUUAUUCGGAUUACCAUAAGUGCAUUUUCCAUAACAGAGAAAAUCGGGACCGAGGGGGAACAGGAGCUGGGCGCCUGCCCACCUGAUCUGGGCGCCCGCCCUCUCUCUGGCCCCUCUGUGGGCCUACUUUCUCAAGCGCCUUUCUAGAUGCGAAAUUAUUUAGAAAUAUAUAUAUAUGACCCAAAAACAUCAGAGUAAAAAGGUCGGGCUCUAAUUCUCCAUGGGAAGGUAAAAAUGGACUACGUCUAUUUCUUCUAAUUCUUUAUUGGGCUCUAAAAAUAAUUUAAGACGUUGACCAUUUACCUUGAAUAACGUACCUUCAUCAUUUUGAAGUGUGAUAGCUCCGUGGGAUGAUGAAUUAAUUACCUUAAAUGGUCCUUCCCAUUUGCUCCGGAGUUUUCCAUGCCCGAAAAGCUUCACCCUGGAAUUAAAAAGUAAUACCUUAUCUCCGGGUGUGAACUCCUUCUUCUUGAUUCUCUUGUCAUGCCACCUUUUGACUCAUUCUUUGUAGAUCUUUGAAUUGUGAUAUGCCUUCUCUCACCAUUCUUCCAAUUCUGAUAGUUGCAUUCUUCUAUAAUCUCCAGCAACAUCUAGGUCCAUAUUCCAUCUCUUUAUGGCCCAGUGUGCUUUGAACUCUAGUUCAACAGGUUGAUGGCAAGUCUCCCCGUACACCAAUUGGUAUGGAGACAUUCCAAUUGGGGUCUUGUAUGCUGUCCGGUAUGCCCAGAGUGCAUCGGGUAACUUGCCUUUCCACGCCGUUCCCAUUUCAUUUACUGUCUUCUGAAGAAUAUUCUUGAUUUGUUUGUUGGAAGUCUCUGCUUGGCCACGUGUCUGAGGAUGAUAGGGGGUAGCGACGUUGUGACAGAUUCCAUGUUUUGAUAGAUAUUGCUUGAAGCGUUUGUCGAUGAAGUGUGCUCCUCCAUCACUUAUCACUACUCUGGGGACUCCAAAUCUUGGAAAUAUAAUUUCUUCGAACAUCCUCUUUGAACUGACGUUGUCGGCAUGCUUGCAAGGUAAUGCCUCUACCCACUUGGAGACAUAGUCAACCGCCACCAAGAUGUACUCACACUUCUUUGAUGGAGGAAAUGGACCCAUGUAGUCCAUUCCCCAGACAUCAAAGAGCUCAAUCUGAAGGUUGCUGGUGAGUGGCAUUGCAUCCCUUAUAUUUAUGUUUCCGUGCCUUUGACAUGGCCCACAUCUUCUGAUAUAUUGCUUCGUGUCUUCAUACAUUGUAGGCCAGUAGAAUCCACACUGCCAGAUUUUUGAAUGUGUGCGGAAUGCUCCAUAGUGACCUCCAUAUGGUGAUGAAUGACAUCUGUCGAUGAUCUUCCAUCCUUCCUCAGCGGUCACACAUCUCCUGAGUAAGCCAUCAGAGCAUACUCGGAAGAGGUAUGGCUCAUCCCAUAUAUGUGAACGACUUUCUUGAAUAAGCUUCUUCUUGUUUGCUCCUGGUGGUACAUACCCUGAAACCAUAAAAUUAACAAUAUCUACAUACCAGGGGUCAGACCUGUUAAUCCCGUAGAGCAUGUCGUCCCGGAGUGAAUCAUUGAUGGGGGUUUCCUGUGGACUCUUAAAAUACAUUCUAGACAAGUGAUCAGCAACAGAAUUUUCUACUCCUUUUUUAUCUUUUAUUUCUAAGUCAAAUUCUUGAAGUAAUAAGAUCCAUCUAAUCAGGCGAGGUUUAGCAUCUUUUUUAGUGAGCAAAUAUUUUAGUGCAGCAUGAUCAGUGUAAACAAUUAUUUUAGCUCCAACUAAAUAAGAUCUAAAUUUAUCAAUGGCAAAGACAACAACCAGAAGCUCUUUUUCAAUGGUUGCAUAGUUAAGUUGAGCUCCUGUCAAAGUUUUACUGGCAUAAGCAAUUGCAUGAUGCUUCUUAUUUUUAGUUUGUCCCAAUACUGCCCCCACAGCAUAAUCACUAGCAUCACACAUAAUUUCAAAAGGCAACGACCAAUCAGGGGGUUGAAAGACUGGGGACUAAUCGUCCGGAAGAUUCCUUUAUGACCUUUGUUGUGGGGGUUAAGACAAGAUUUUUAAAUAGUUUAAGUGCAAAAGAUUCAGACAUGAUGUUGAUCCCCACAACAGGAUUAUAGAGAGCAUUAAAUCGAUCAGAAUUAUAAGCACGGCGUAUAGUUAUAGAGGGUGUGUCCAAACAGAUCACAUCAGAGGAAAGUUCUAAUUCCUCCAACCAUUCGCUACUCAUGACUGAGAUAAGCUCUCUCAAUUGAUAUUCACUUGGCAAAUAAAUGCUAAACUGGACGUUUUGGGGUUUGUCAAUAGAAUUGUAGUUUGAAAUGUUUCCAAAAUUGGCAAAAAGAUCAGAUUCUAUAUCCAGCAUGAAGUCCGGUGGUGGAAUUUCUUCCUCUUGUGGCUCAGAACUUGGGAUAGCUAAAGUAGAUGAAGAAUUAGGCAGAGUGUCUACUUUGGCUUCGUAGGUUUCAUCAUGAAGGGUAUUAUCCAUCUCAGCUUCUAGGAUUCUAUCUAGGAUCACUCUAGCUUCAUCAGUAGGGAUGCGAAAGAAAGAACCUCUAGACAUUGUGUGUAGCAUUUGUUUGUGAUUUUUAUGAAGACCUCGAAAAAAGUGAAAUAAAAGAAUAGGGUCUUCGAGAUUAAGGUUUGGACCAGAUUCUAAAAGAUCAAAAAAACGUUUCUAGGAUUUUCCCAAAGUUUCAUUAUCUUUUUGUUUAAAAGACAGGACUUCGAGUCUAAGGUUGGCUAUACGGUCAAGGGAAUAGAAAUCUAGACAAAAGUUGGCUCGUAAAACUCCCCAUUCACCUUGUUGUUGACUUACCUUCUGACUGUACCAUUGUCUAGCUUCUCCCCUUAAGGAAAAAGGAAAAAGCUUCCAACGUAAAGUUUUAUCAGAAAUGCCUUCAAUACGAAGACAAUCACAUGUUUGCUCAAAAUCUCUAAUAUGAAGGUAAGGGUUUUCGUCUUCCUUUCCCGAAAAAGAUAGGUUUUGAAUCAUGGCAAUCAACCUAGAACUUAACUUAUACUGGGAUGUUUGGAUAGGCUGUGAUGAUUCCCAUGGCAAAAGGUCAGUUACUGAAGUGAUUGCAGACUCAUGGAUCGAUUUAGAAUUUUGGUUUUCCAUAAGGUAAGAGUAAAGAAAAUAAAGAAUAUAAAAGAUAAGAAAAGAUAAAAGUAUAGAUACAAGCUAGUAGUAACACUCAAGGUUAUCUCAGCAACCGUCUUUCUCCCCGGCAACGGCGCCAAAAAUGCUUGUUGAUAUUUGGGAAUGCAAUAAGGAAUUGAUCCGCAAGCGCACGGACAUCGGUGAGCACUUCACCCGGGAGGUUAUCCAGAGUAUCGUAUUUAUUUUUUUACCACUAGAAGAAAGAGCGCAUCUGACUAACCGGUCUAUUACUACUAACCUUUUAGGCAACAAAGAAUGUCUCUCGAUGUGAGUGAUAAAUAGAGAAGACUGCAACCGUAGUCUUCUUUUAACCUUGGUAAGGAUGAUCUACUGUUCUAUUGGGGAGGCUAACGGAAUCUAGACACCACAAAGGAUGUUCAACCCGCACCUAUAAACCCUAUCAUUCCUGCUAACGAGAUGUGGUCUGCAAAGGUAACUCGGAAUUGUCACGUUCCUCACUACUACCACGGUCUAGCUAGUCAGGGAAUAUCUAUGAGUACCCCAGCCUAAACACCACGUUUACGCCAGCAAUGAUUACUCUAAACUCUACACGAAGAGAUUAAAGUAAACUCAUAAACCAGAAGAACAAUAAAACAAGAACUUACUAGAAUUUAGAAGUCGAAAUACUGAAGAAUCCUAGGAGCAAGCUUCGGGUUAGGAGAACUUGAUCCCGCAGGUACAAGCUUGGAGUAGACACCGACAGGCCGGGCUUCCUCCAAUCUACACCUCCACUCUAUCUCUCUCAAUCUAGUAGAAACUAGAAGAUCUAUUUCUACUGUACAUUGGUUGCUAAGCCUAAAAAGAAAUAUUAAUUAGAGAAGAGGUUUUCCUUCGAGGGCACCCCUCAAUCUCUAUGAUAAUUUCUUGUCUUCUCCAGGGGCCAGGGGGGUCUCCUUAUAUAGUCCUCCUCCUCUAUGCGUUUUUGGGUCGGUAGGCGAGGUGGUACUACAUUAUCUCAGAUCCAUUAGGUCGGUGGAACAUCCCGUGCGAAGAGAGUCCUGAAUGGAAUCCAGCAGGGGCGGGCGCCCUGGGCCUGGCCCCUUUCGGCCUCUGCCUUCUUCCCGUGGCUUCUGGAGUCUUCUAGAUGGUAGAAAAUCAUGCGGUGCGUUGAUAUCUCUAUGUAAUCCCGACAUGUGGGCCUUUCUUCCUUAUUUCCUGAUAACCCCUGCAGAAACAGAUAAACAACAAAACUCGUGGAAUUCUGUCAGAUCAAACCCUAAUUCUAGGUGUUGGUUGCAUAUUGGUCCUUUCUCUUGUUUAUUUGAUAACUAAAAUUGAUACUUAAGAACCAUCAACAGCUUCCACUUGAGCCUCUUCACCCAGUAGUACCAAAUAGUGCGUCCAAAAUGGUUUCUUAGACUAUGGUGCAUUAGGCGCAAACUAUGCACCUAUUUGCACUAAAACUUACAAUGUCUACAAACAGACCGAAGCAAGAUUCCAUAUGGCACACGUCAUCUAGGAGUUCCAUUUUGUGCGUCCAAAUUGAUUUCUAAGCAUAUGGUAUGUUCUUUGCAAAUCAUGCACCUAUCUUGCAUCAGAUUUGCACUAUCUCCAAAUUGAUAAAACCAAGCUUCCACUUGAGCCUCUUCACUCAAGUACCAACAGGUGCUUUCAAAAUGGUUUCUUACACUAUGGUGCAUUAGGCGCAAACCCUGCACAUAUCUUGCACCAAAACUAAUACUAUUUCUAAACAGACAAAAGUGAGAUUCCAUAUGACACACGUCAUCAAGGAGUUCCAUCGGGUGCAUCCAAAUUGAUUUCCAAGCAUAUGGUAUGUUCCAUGCAAACCGUGCACCUAUCUUGCACCAAAACUAACACUGUCUCCAAACAGACCGAAGCAAGAUUCGGUAUGACACGCGUCAUCUAGGAGUUCCAUCAUGUGCGUCCAGAUUGAUUUCCAAGCAUUUGCUAUGUUCCAUGCAAACCGUGCACCUAUCUUGCAUCAAGAUUAGCACUAUCUCCAAAUAGAACGAACCGAGCUUCCACUUGAGCCUCUUCAUCUAGGAGUACAAACAGGUGUGUCAAAAAUGGUUUCUUAGACUAUGGUGCAUUAGGCACAAACUAUGCACCUAUCUUGCACCGAAACUAACAUUGUCACCAAAUAGACCGAAGCGAGAUUCCAUAUGACACACGUCAUCUAGGAGUUCCAUUGGGUCCGUCCAAAUUGAUUUCUUAACAUAUGGUACGUUGCAUGCAAACUGUGCAACUAUCUUGCAUCAAGAUUGGCACUAUAUCCGAACACACCAAAUCGAGCAUCCACUUGAGCCUCUUCAACUACGAGUACCAUCGGGUGCGUCUAAAAUGGUUACUUAGCCUAUGGUGCAUUAGGCGUAAACCGUGCGCAUAUCAUCAAUUAGUUAUAGCAGGUGCGUCCUAAUUGAUUUCUGAGUAUAUCGUAAGUUUCAUGUAAACCGUGCACCUAUCUUGCAUCAAGAUUAGCACUAUCUCCAAACAGACCAAACCGAGCUUUCAUUUGAGCCCCUUGACCUAGGAGUACCAUCGGGUGCGUCCAAAAUGGUGCAUUAGGUGCAAACCGGUUACCUAUCUUGCACCGAAACUAACACUGUCUCUAAACGGACCAAAGUGAGAUUCCAUACGACACAUGUCAUCUAGGAGUUCCAUCUGGUGCGUCCAAAUUGAUUUAUGAGCACAUGGUAUGUUCCAUGCAAAUCGGGCACCUAUCUUGCAUCAAGAUUAGCACUAUCUCUAAAUAGCCCAAACCGAGCCUCCACUUGAGCCUAUUCACCUAGGAGUACCAAGAGGUGCUUCCAAAAUGGUUUCUUAGACUUUGGUUUAUUAGGCACAAACUGUGCACAUAUCUUGCACCGAAACUAAUACUGUCUCUAAGCACACUAAAGCGAGCAUCCAUAUGACACAUGUCAUCAAGGAGUUCUAUUGGGUGUGUCCAAAUUAAUUUCUAAGCAUAUGGUACGUUCAAUGCAGACCGUGCAUCUAUCUUACAUCAACAUUAGCACUAUCUCCAAAUAGACGAAAUCGAGCUUUCACUUGAGCCUUUUACCUAGGAGUACCGUCGGGUGCGUCUGAAAUGGUUUCUUAGCCUAUGCUGCAUUAUGUGCAAACCUUACACCUAUCUAGCACCAAAACUAACGCUGUCUCCAAAUAGACCGAAGCAAGAUUUCAUAUGACACACGUCAUCUAGGAGUUCCAUCAUGUGCGUCGAGAUUGUUUUCCAAGCAUUUGGUUGUUCCAUGCAAACCGUGCACCUAUCUUGCAUCAAGAUUAGCACUAUCUCCAAACAGACUGAACCGAGCAUCCACUUGAGCGCCUUCACCUAGGAGUACCAACAAGUGCGUCCAAAAUGGUCUCUUAGACUAUGGUGCAUUAGGUGCAAACUGUGCACCUAUCUUGCAUCAAGAUUAGCACUAUCUUGUCAUCUUCAAAACCGGGUGGUUGCUCAACAUAAACUUCUUCAUUGAUAUAGCCAUUGAGAAUAUGUGCACCAACAUAGGCCAACAAGAUCCUAAUUGCUUCCAAUCUAGCAACCGGGCCAUAUGUUUCACCAAAGUCAAGACCUUCAACAUGAGUAUAGCCUUGUGCUACCAAUCUUGCUUUGUUCCUGUCGACGAAAGCUGGUCGGCAGUCUACCUUGGGGUAUACCCACGGUAGUAGUUUAUCGGUAGACGGUGCGCAAACUACGAACUCGAUGGUGGCGCAAGACACGGACAAGCUUUUUAUCCAGGUUCGGCCGCCGAGUUGGCGUAAUACCUACGUCCGCGUCUGGUUGUAUUGAUUUGUGUUGAGAGAAUAUGAUGUCCUAGGGGGGUCCCUUGCCUCUCCUUAUAUAGUCCGGAGGGUAGGGUUACAGAUCUGGAAACUAAUCCUAGUCGGUUACAAUUGCCAUAGAUAGUUCGAUAUCAAUUCCUAUUCUAACCCACUAGAAUCCUGUUUGAUCUCCACGUCUUGUUUCCUUGCGCGAAACUCCGAGCUGUCGGAUCAAACCUUGAGCUUGUCUCGUAAUGGGCCAAGCCUCCUGGCCCAAGUCUAGCCGUAUGGGUAUAGGGGUUUAUACCCCCACAGCUAGUCCCCGAGCACCAUGUAUUGUGAAGUAACACGCCGUCUUGAGCUUCUUUGACCAAUGAAACUUAAUAUCUUCAAUCAUUAUGAAAGUUGCCCAAAUAGUUGCGACAACAGUUUGAACAAAUCUAAAGGCGUCCGAUUAACUUCAUCAUCAAAGAAGCCAACUGUUCGAAGAAUGCAUGGUGCUCUCGAGAAAAAAUAUUUCUUUUUCGGUGAAGUGUGCCCACUUUACUUUUUCAAAAGUACAGUCCAUCAACGAAACAAGCAAAUUCACCGCAAGGUGAAGUGUGCCCACUUAGUCCCCGAGCCUGGUAGCAGGUGACGUAGUCACAUGGUGCCAGGGUCCAAAGAAGAAUCUCCAAAGCUGCUUUGUAUGUGGGAUGCAUCGCUAGAUGCAUCGUACCGAUGUAGUCCCCGAGCUUGGUGGAAGGCAAAGUAUGAACCUUGUAGCAAGGUCUUAAAAAACCGAAAUUAUCCAGUCCCCAAGCAUCCCAUGCUCAUUUACCAUGGAGUUUGCAGUUCGACGCUCUGGUCAACCAGUCCCCGGGUGUACAAUGGUCGGCGAACUCUUUAGCUUGCUGAUUUCCAAACCAAUAAACUAAGCGAUCAGUCCCCGAGCAGCAAGCGCUCGGUGGUCGGAGCAGUCUCAACAAAUGUGACGACCAGUCCCCGAGCAUCGAGUGCUCGGUGGUCGGUGCGGUCUUUGAAGUUCUGAGUUAAUAGACUGGUCGACCAGUCCCCGAGCAUCAAGCGCUCGGUGGUCGGUGCAGUCGUUGAAGUUCCAAGUUAAUAGACUGGUCGACCAGUCCCCGAGCAUCAAGUGCUCGGUGGUCGGUGCAGUCCCCGGAUUGUUGACUCUCUGCCAUAUUUGUCUCCUUGUUUUGAAAAAAUUUUUCAAGAAAAAGUUGACGUGACGAGACCUCCUGACGGGAUGUCAGAUGGAUGCAUGAAAAGUUGCGCCUGGCAACUGUACGGCCGCCCUUUGUGCGGUUUGAGAAAAGGAAACCAUCAAUUUGUAUGAAAACUCCACCGCAUUAAUUGUCGAUGAUCAUUGAAAACCGAAACGCCGCAUCCGCCGUAUGGCCCGCCCACUUCCCGAGGAUGCGGGAAGUGGGAGGGGUGAAGUUGUGGGUUAUAAGAGCUCGACAGUUCCCCCUGUACUGCUUACCCUGCCAUUGCCUUCAAGCCUUCCACUCUUGCCUCCUUCAAUCAUCUACACCUUCCAAACUCGAAUCCACCUCCGCACCUCCAAUGGCGAAGAGCGAUUCAAAGAAGAGGUCCGAGCUGAUGGCCAAAGAAUGGAAGAAAUCCCGCAGCACCGCCAAGUCCCUCGGUGACCUCGUCGAUAUGGGGCUACUGCACAGCCCGGAGCUCGGCGGCUGGAGGGCACCGGAGGGGGAGAGCUACCACGACCCCCGCGCCAGUGAGAUCGUCGUGUUCGAAGAUUUCGUUAAGAGGGGUUUUGGGGUGCCUGUUCACCCUUUUCUUCAGGGUCUUCUUUUGUAUUAUGAGAUCGGGAUUUGCAAUCUGCACCCGAACUCAAUCCUUCUUAUUUCAACUUUUAUCCAUUUGUGCGAGGCCUAUGUAGGCAUAGAACCGCACUUCGAUCUCUUUCGCUAUCUUUUUUGUUUGAGAAAGAAGGGGGCAGUUGGAGGCUCUAAGGUUGCAGCUGUAGUAUACCUCAACCUUCGCGACGGGAUGAAGAACCGCUAUCUGCACUGCCCCUGGAACACUUCUCUGAUUGAAUGGUACAGGAAGUGGUUCUACAUCAGAGAGGAACCGGGCAGCUCCACGUUCUGCGACGUGGGAUACAUCCCCGAGAAGAGGGUGAGCUGGACCGAUCGCCCAGAGUACGACGGUCAAGUGGCAGAUCUGAUGCAGCUGAUCGACUGGUCGCGUCUGGACGGGCUAGGCGUGGUCGGCAACUUCGUGUGCCGUCGGGUGAUGCCCUGCCAGAAGAGGGUGCACUCGGCGUACGAGUAUGCUGGAAGCGUGGACCCGACCAGGAUGCGACCUGAGAUCUUGGAGAAGGCGGAGGUACAGCAGCUGUUGAACGAGCUGUUCAACUUCGCGGACGGAGGCUUCAUCCGUGGCAGUGAUCCGGUGCAAGCCUUCAAGUUGGGGCGACCAGCGCCUAAGGUAUGUUAUUGAUUACUUUGCUUUAGCAUCCGUAUGUUGUCUGCAGCUGACUUAUCUUUGUUACUUUUGCAGAUCGGAGAUGUUGACCGGUGCACAGUGUAUGUAUCACUGGCACCUGGAAUGGAGAAUCCUGCGAGAGAAAAUCCGCCGGAGGAAGACGCUGCUCGGUGUACUCGUUACACCAGCAGUGAGGAAGACCAGGCCCGCCCCGUCCCGACCACCGAGGAAAGAGUGGUGGGGAAAAGGCCAAUGGCGGCGGAUCCGUCGCCGGCGCCGACGCUACCAGCAGAGAGCAGCCGAGCGCCAAAGCGUCGUCGGUUCGUUCGGAUUACCGACGACGACGACGAGGAGGAGGAGGCCACACCAUCGUUGGUCCGGAGGCCUCAUAGCCGUCCGGACAGCGUGCCGACCACUGCUGAUCGGGUGGCCGGCGACCCUCCUGCGCCUCGCGCUGCGGAGACGGGGGCACAGGUGCCGACCGGCCGGGCAAGGAGGAGGUUCACCGCGACCCACCGUCGCUCGGACCUGUAAGUGUUCGACUUACGUAUUUUGGCGAUUUUUUUUUAACUGUUGUUGAAAAUAUCCCUCUGUUAUGUAGCGCGGCGUCGGACGUCAAUCCCGACCAGGCCUCGGAGCAGGGGACGGCCGCUCCUGUUGCCGCCGCUGAAGACGCCGCGCCACAGGUCACAGAGCAACCUGCAGCGGCGGCGGGUGCCGAGGACCAAUCUGCCCCGGCAAGUGCUGCGACGAGCACUCAGCCGAGGGAUGAGGAGGCAGCAAGGGUCCCUCCCCCGAGUACUGUUGUAGAGGAGGAGAGCAGAGUCCCAACUCCACCAGCCGAAGAAGGGAGGGAUUUGACGCCGCCCCGAGCAGGGGCUUCUUCGCCCGUGGGCUCCUCUGGCCUAGGCCAGGGACCAGUAAUGCCCUCAACCGCAGCCGGAGGUAGUGCGGCAAACGAGGAGCCCCAGGAGGCCUCUGACAACGACGUGGAGGAGGUCUAGGGUCGUCCCCGUGAUGGCCGCCAGCACGUCUACGUGUGACGCCAACGCGGGGACCACUUUAUUGGCCACGAGGAGCUCGCGGAGACGGAGGAGGCCACGAGAGUGGAGCGCGUGGCUAAGCGCCUCGUGGAGGAGGUUAAGGUAGGUGGUCCGGUGUUCUGCUGGGAUAACUUUUGUGCAGUGUUCCUGUGUUCGACAUGUGUUCUUCCUUACAGGGCGCGAUGAAAACGGCGAAGUACCGAAAACGGUGCUUCGACCAGAUUGAGGGAAUUGUGGCCGAGAAUAAGGCCUUGUCUACGGAGGUAGACCGGCUGCGGUCAGAGGUUGGGGAGAAGGUGGCCGAGGUAAACGCCCAGGAGGAGCGUCGUCUCGAGCUCACUCGUCGCUUGGCCGACCAGUACCGGCAGCGGUCAGGUCAGUCACGUGCUCCGAGCAGCUUUGUGUAGCUGCGUAGUUUACUUUACUGACCGGGUUGUGAUUCACGUAGACUUGGAGGAGGAGGUGGCGUGCCUCCGACAGGAGAAGGAGCAGCUCGGUCAAGAGCUAUUUGGGGCGCUGGAGGCCGGUCGCCGAGCAGCGGAGGAGCUAAGCCAGAGGGACCGGGAGUUGUCUGGUAUCACGCGCCGCUCCCGUUGUUUGCCUCUUAUCGCUCUGUUUGACACGCCGAGACUAACAUCUUCCUUGAUUUGCAGUGCUCAAGGUAAACACCAAGAAGCACCUGGAGGAUCUGGUCAAGGAUCGGGACUCCUGGAAGGUCAACUGCUGCAAGAUUUGGAGAGGAGCGUCCCCGGUUCUGGAUUUGAUCAGUCCCGAGCUCCCGGAGAGCCAGCCCCGCGCGCCGAGAUUGACUCCAGUGGAAAAGGCGCAAUGGGCGUGGGACUGGCUCCAACAAUUCGUGAAGGACGCCGGGGAGUUUGCUGGCGCGCAUGUCCUUAGCAUGGUGCGCGCCCACUACCCCCUGGUCGACUUGACCAGGCUGGAGAAAGGGUAUUCCAAGGAGGUCGGCCCGCAGGAGGCGGACGAGCUUCGGGGUGGUCUGCUGGACUUGUCGUCGACGGUGAUCGGCGACAUCAAUCUAUGCGGAACGGCCACUCCCCCCGACCAGCCGGGUUCAGACAGGUCGGCCAGGGAGCUGUUGGGCGCGUCUAUUGCGGGAGAUGGGCGGUCGACGCCUGCGGUCUCGACCAGCCAGGCGCCGGUGGCCCCGACCCCUUCGUCCGGGCAGCAGGGCCAGGCGGGUGAUCAGCCCGAGCAGUAGGCCAAUAGGGUAGACUGUAGGAAUAGUCUAGCGACUGCCCGUCAGGGUAUUUAUUGUAAACUUUGUAUGUAAAGUUUGUAAUAAAGUUUGCUUUUGUCAUGACUGUUAUUUUGAGCGUUGUACAAUUAUUUGAGUGACGUGCCACUGUAUUUGACUUUGUAGUCGCUAAGAGCUUCUGUUGCAGAAGGCUUUCCGAGUUCUGCGUGUAACAAAGUAUAGGCAAAAAAGAGAAACUUUUAUUAUUGACAGCUAUAAGAUAUUUACAAUCGAAGGUUAUUAGAACUUAUGGAUAAAAUCGGCGCAAUUUGUCUAUAUGCCAAGAGUUAGGCACGCGUGUUCCGUCUGGGUAUGCCAAUCUGUAGGACGUGGGUCGUGUGACUUCGGCGACCACGAAGGGUCCUUCCCAGGGAGUUGAUAGCUUGUGCAUUCCCUCUUGGCUUGUUUUCCACCUAAGUACCAGAUCGUCGACUGCGAAGGAACGGUCCUUGACGUUCCUGUUGUGGUAUCGCCUGACUGCCGCGAGAUACUUUGCUGUUCGGAGACAAGAAUUCAAAUGCUUUUCCUCCAUGCAGUUGAUUUCGAGCUCUCUGGAGUUGUCGGCUGUUGACUGGUCGAAGUUUUCAAUCCUAGGAGAACCAAGGUUAUGUCAGACGACAGGACUGCCUCUGUGCCGUAAACCAUGAAGUAGGGUGACACUCCUGUGUUCCGACUGGUCUGAGUUCGGAGGCCACAGACCACGGCCGGUAACUCUUUCAUCCAUCGACCGGGAGCCCUGUCGUUCUCGGUGUACAGCCUUUUCUUUAGGGCGUCGAUGAUCAUUCCGUUUGCGCGCUCAACUUGACCAUUGGCCCGUGGGUGAGCUACUGACACAUAUUUUAUGACUAUGCCCCUGUCAUCGCAGAAGUCCCAAAAUGUGGUGCCAGUAAACUGAGUACCCAGGUCGGUGAUUAUACUGUUUGGGAUCCCAAACCUGUGUAUGAUUUGAUUAAGGAACUACACAGCCUUCUCAGAGGUUGCUUUGACCAGUGGCAUGUAUUCAAUCCACUUGGAGAACUUGUAGAUUAAGACGAAAACGAACUUGAAGUUGCCGGGGGCUGGUUUAAAUGGCCCGAUCAUGUCGAGCCCCCAGCAGGCGAAGGGCCAGGAUGACGGGAUGGUUUGAAUCUCAUGAGCAGGUACGUGGGUCCUUUUAGCGAAGAACUGACAUCCCUCGCAGUGUCGGACCAGUUUUUCUGCGUCGUUGACCGCAGUUGGCCAAUAAAAACCUGCUCGGAAGGCUUUCCCGACCAGCGUUCUGGAUGCAGCGUGAUUGCCGCAGGAUCCGGCGUGUAUGUCCUCUAGGAGCUUGAUGCCAUCAUCUUGGGAUAUGCAUUUGAGCAGUACUUCGGAACUUGCAUUUUUUCGCAUAAGUUUGUCGUCCACCAGUAUGUAGUUCUUUGAUCGUCGAAUGAGGCAUUCAUUCUCUGUUUUGUCCUGAAAGCCUAACCCGUCCGAUAUAUAUCUUAUGAACGGGGUGCGCCAAUCGCGGCCACUGGUUGUCGGAGUGGCAUCGUCUAUGAGCAGUGCCUCGGUGAGUUGCUUUUCGACCAGGCCUGUGCCCACACUUGGCUCAUGGAUGUCCUGGACGAAAAUACCCCGCGGGAUUUGAGCCCGAGAUGACCCUAACUUCGACAACGCAUCUGAUGCCUGGUUCUUAUCCCGGACCACGUGGAUGUACUCUAUGCCGUAGAAGUUGGUUUCCCAUUUGCGAAUUUCUUUGCAGUAGAGAUCCAUCUUCUCGUGGGUUGCGUCCCACUCCUUGUUGAGCUGGUUGAUAACUAAACCAGAGUCGCCAUAGACGCAGAGGCGUUUGACUCCCAGCUCAACGGCUAGCCUUAUGUCGUGCAGGCAUGCUUCGUAUUCGGCGACAUUGUUUGAUGCCGGAAAGAGGAUCCUAAGGACGUAACGCAGUUUGUCCUUGUUAGGCGACAUGAAUAGUAUCCCAGCGCCGGUGCCGUUGAUGUUCAAGGAUCCGUCAAAGAACAUUGACCAGUGGUCGGAGACAUCGGGAAUGGGAGGCUCGUUUAGAUCCAUCCAUUCAGCGAUGAAAUCGACCAGGGCCUGAGACUUGACUGUGGUGCGGCUCUGGAACUCCAGGGAAAAUGGGCAUAAUUCCAUCGCCCAUUUUACGUUUCUGCCGUUGGCGUCUUUAUUACGCAGAAUGUCCCCGAGAGGGAAACUGGUGGUUACCAAGACUCGAUGGCCGUCGAAGUAGUGCUUCAGCUUUCUUGACGUUAUUAGAAUGGCGUAUAUGAGCUUCUGUAUUUGUGGGUACCUGGCCUUGGACUCGUUUAAGACUUGACUUAUGAAGUAAACGGGUCUCUGGACCUUGUAGACAUGACCUGGCUCAUCUCGUUCGACCACUAUUGCCGUGGAAACAACCCUGCCGGUUGCAGCAAUGUAAAGGAGUAGGUCUUCAUUGGGCUGAGGCGCUGUAAGAACAGGUGGUGAAGUGAGGAAAGUCUUAAGCUGAGCGAACGCGGCGUCGGCUUCCUCUGUCCAAGAAAAUUUUUCCGACGCUUUCAAGAGUUUGAAGAAAGGGAGGCCUUUUUCUCCUAGUCUUGAGAUGAAGCGACUGAGGGCGGCCAUACAUCCGGUGAGCUUCUGAAUAUCCUUGACGUUUUUAGGUGGUCGCAUGUCGAGUACUGCUUUUACUUUUGAAGGAUUUGGCCGUAUGCCGUCACGACUGACAACGUUGCCGAGCAGUAGACCAGAAGGGACACCGAAGAUGCACUUUUUGGGGUUAAGCUUCCACUUGUACCUAUUAAGCGCCUUAAAAGUUCGGUCUAAGUUGUCGAUUAGGGUGCUUGCAUCCCUCGUUUUGACGACGACGUCAUCUACAUAGGCCUCGACGAGGUCGUCACGAAUCUCGUCGUGGAGGCAUAGCUGUAUGGCCCGUUGAUAAGUGGCUCCGGCAUUUUUAAGUCCGAAUGACAUAGUCGUGUAGCAAUAUGCGCCGAAAGGAGUAAUGAAAGAUGUUUUGAUCUGAUCGUCUUCCUUUAGCGAGAUCUGGUGAUAGCCAGAGUAGCAGUCUAAGAAAGAGAGGAGUUCGCAUCCGGCCGUUGAGUCGACCACCUCGUCGAUGCGAGGGAGAACAAAAGGAUCUUUAGGACAGUGUUUAUUGAGAUCAGUGUAAUCAAUGCACAUUCUCCAUUCAUUAUUCUUUUUGCGUACAAGGACCGGAUUGGCGAGCCAAUCGGGAUGAUACACUUCUUUUAUGAAUCCGGCUUAUAGAAGCCGUGUUAUUUCUGUCCUAAUAGCCUCCUUUUUGUCACGAGCGAACCGUCGCAGCUUUUGCUUGAUGGGUCUUGCGGUCUUCGAGACAUUUAAGGAGUGCUCGAUCAGGUUUCGUGGGACGCCGGGCAUAUCUGCGGGUUUCCAUGCGAAAACGCUUACGUUGUCCCUUAGAAACCUGACGAGCGCGUCUUCCUAUUUGGGGUCCAGAUUGGCCUCGAUGAGGGCCGUCUUCUCAGGGCUGCCGUCGACCAGUUGUACUUCCUUAUACUCCUUGGAUUUUGAAUUCUUCCUGGCAGUCUCCUGCUCGGGUAAUCGGAGCUGGUCGGGAGGCAGCUGCGCGGCUUGGGUUGUUGUUUCUGCCAUGCGAAUUGAGAGGUCGAUGGCCUCGGUGAUCUUGAAGCUUUCCUCUUCGCAGGUAUAUGCGGUGUAGACAUUGCCUCUGACGGUUAGGACACCCUUCUCCGUAGGCAUCUUAAGGACUAGGUAUGAGUAGUGCGGGACUGCCAUGAACUUUGUCAGCGAUGGUCGGCCCAGUAUGGCGUGGUAGGUCCCGUCGAAGUCCGCGACCACAAAGUUGACGAACUUUGUCCGAAAUUGGUCUGGUGUGCCGAAUUGGACAGGCAAUGUUAUCUGUCCGAGGGGCACUGAACUCUGACCUAGCAAAACUCCCCAGAAUUGAGCAUCAUAGGGUUUUAGUUGUGCAGGAGAUAUCUUGAGAGCGGGCAGGCUGUUGCGGAAGAGGAUGUCAAUGGAGCUUCCUUCGUCCACGAGCAUGCGCUCGAAUCUAAUGCUGUUGAUGCAAGGGUCCAGGAUUAGAGGGAAACGUCCUGGUUCUGGGAUAGCGGCCCACUGAUCCUUCCUGCUGAAGGAGAUCUCCCUGUGCGACCACGGGGGAAACUUCGGGUCUGCGAUCAGUCCGUCCGUGCUGUCUAUGUUGAGGCAGGCUCUUUUUAAUAGUUUUCUUUCUCGCUUAGAUUCGAUGGAGACCUUGCCCCCGAAGAUGGAGUGGACCACGUCGGUGGGGCUGACGUAUUGGUGUCGAGGGUCCCUAUCUUGGUCCUCGUCCUCGUCUUCGUGGUCGUGCUCGUCUCGCUUGCCAUUUUUCUUGGCGGAGUCAUCUUGGGCGGCCCGCAGUGUAUAGAUGUUUUUGAGGACGCAGCACUCCUCCAUGGUAUGAUUAGAUUUUGGAUGUAGUUGGCACGGUCCCUUCAACGUUUUGUUGUAGUCUUCUUGGUAGUCUCGCCGCCCGUUGGGACGCUUGACCGUAUUCACUUCGUGGUCGUGGUCGCGGGGGCGCUUUCCUCUGAAGUCGUCGCGAUUAUCGCGCCGCCGAUCCCAGCCUUCUCUGUGAUCGCGGUUGUCGGAGCGGCGGUGGUUCCUGUUGUCGAAACGACCGCGACCGUCACCUCGCCGGGGAGGCUGGUCGGGACCUCUCGCAUCGUCCCGGAUUAGUUUCUCUGCAUCGUCAGCAUCGGCGUAAUUUUUAGCCGUGGCGAGGAGCUCCGCCAUCGUUGUUGGCCUUUUGCGCAACAGUUUGUUCCUCAGUGCUUCAUGGAAACGUAGGCCCUUGAUGAAGGCAGAGAUGGCCUCGUCGUGGGAAAUCUUCGGGAUCUUAAGGCGCAUAUCCGAGAAUCGUCGGAUGUAAUCGCGUAAAGGUUCGUUUUUCCUGUCCCUUAUCCUUUCGAGGUCAUACUUGUUUCCAGGCUGCUCGCAUGUGGCGAUGAAGUUGUCGAUAAAAGCCUGGCGUAGCUCUUCCCAAGAGUCGAAGGAGUCCUCAGGCAAGCCAAGAAGCCACUGAUGACCAGCCUGGUCGAGGACUACUGGGAAGUAGUUGGCCAUGACGUGCUCAUCCCCCGCUGCUGAUCGGACGGCGAUUUCAUAGAGAGUGAUCCAGUUCUCUGGAUUUUCCUUGCCGUCGUAUUUUUUGAGUUUCUCGAGCUUGAAAUUGCGGGGCCACACGACCUGGCAGAGGUGUGAGGAGAACUGUCUUAGGCCCGGGGCGCCGUGCGUUGCAUCGUACUCGAUACGGCGCAGGUUUUCGUGGACUGCUCUUUCCGUGGUGCGUCUGUUGAUGCGGUCACGGGCGUCUUUAGGAGGGAUGUUAUAUCGAAGAUCCCUGUGCUGGUUUACUUCUUGACCGCGCCUGCGGUUCUGCUCGUGGUGACCGUCAGCAUCCCGACCACCAUCGUCACGCCGUGAAUCCUUGCGAUGGUUGUCGGGGGAACGGCUACGGUGAUGCCUGCUGGGAGGCGGUGAGGUCCGGCUACGAUUAGUCUGGUCGGAGGUGGCUUCCGUAUAAGAGACGGCCUGGGCUCUUUUGAGCAGAGUGGUUGUCUGUCCCAUUGCGGCGAUCAGGUGCGCUCGGACGCUAGUUCGGACUCCCUGGCACUCAGGAGUAUCGGUGAGCCGAUCUAGGUUAGCCAUGGCGACAGCCACGUUGGCGCUUGGCGUUUUGUAGACUGGCUGGUCCCCGACCAUAUCAAAGGCGUCGCUGAGAUUAUGUGGUGGAAUUUGUCGUUCCUCAUCCGCGCGUCAUCGGGCGCGAUCGGCGUUACGCUGCUCGCGGAGCUGCCUUUGCUCGUCUGUUUCUCCAUCAACGACCGGCUCGUCGGCGCUGACGUUAAAAACAAUGUCUCCUCGCCGGGGGGGAAUACCGGGAAACGAGAGAAACCCGGAGGAUGUGAAAGCAAAUCCAGGUCGUAGUCCUCGUCUUCAGAGUUUAUAACUUCGGUGGGGACGGAACCGGUGCUCGAAUUGGUGCUGGAAGCCUGGCCAUCCCGUAGUUCGCGGAACGUCACCAUGUUGACGUAGUGACGAGCAGAUUGACCGUUCCUUUUUGGCAGCCAACCCGCCUUGGUGAAAACGGAUUGGAUGUGCCGUGAGUAGAAAGAGGCCGAGUUGUUCAGGCCGCAAAGAUAAUCUUCCUUCGGGUUAGCCCUGAGCUUGACGGAUCGCCCUGAGGGAGUUGAGGUUAUCGUCAGAGACGUUCCUAGCCGUUCGUGUGUAACGACACGAGUUGGCCGGCGGGAUUUGAAAAAAUCCGUUGGGGCGGCUUGAUCAGGCUGGCGCAGGAUCCCAUCUACUAGUUGGGAGGCUUCGAGUAGCUUGGAAUCGGCGCGAUCAAGCACUUGGAGAAGGUCCGAGCAGUCGAUCUUCUUUCCCUUGUAGAGCGGGAACGGUGGUCGGGCGCUCGGUGCCGUCACCCGAGUGGUCGGAGACGACAUGAUCUCAGAUUGGAUCUGAGUUUCUUCCGAAACCGUGGUCGUGAGGCCACCGCUGCGCGUAGUCCACGUGAUCUGGCCGACGGUGAGCGUGAGGCCUUCGGGCACGGUCGCGGAAGCCGGGAUUGUGACCAUCUCGUUCGCCGGAGAAGUUGCACGCACACCCCCUACCUGGCACGCCACUGUCGACGAAAGCUGGUCGGCAGUCUACCUUGGGGUAUACCCACGGUAGUAGUUUAUCGGUAGACGGUGCACAAACUACGAACUCGAUGGUGGCGCAAGACACGGACAAGCUUUUUAUCCAGGUUCGGCCGCCGAGUUGGCGUAAUACCUACAUCCUGCGUCUGGUUGUAUUGAUUUGUGUUGAGAGAAUAUGAUGUCCUAGGGGUGUCCCUUGCCUCUCCUUAUAUAGUCCGGAGGGCAGGGUUAUAGAUCUGGAAACUAAUCCUAGUCGGUUACAAUUGCCAUAGAUAGUUCGAUAUCAAUUCCUAUUCUAACCGACUAGAAUCCUGUUUGAUCUCCACGUUUUGUUUCCUUGCGCGAAACUCCGAGCUGUCGGAUCAAACCUUGACCUUGUCUCGUAAUGGGCCAAGCCUCCUGGCCCAAGUCUAGCCGUAUGGGUGUAGGGGUUUAUACCCCCACAGUUCCUUACAACUAUCCCAUCUUGAUCUUGCUUGUUGCGGAAGACCCAUCUAGUACCAAUGACAUUAUGAUCACUAGGCCUCUCAACUAAUUCCCAUACUUUAUUUCUCUAGAAAUUGUUAAGCUCUUCAUGCAUAGCAUUAACCCAAUCCAAUGCUUCAUCAAUCUUCUUUGGCUCAAUGUGAGACACAAAGGAGAAAUGCUCACAAAAUGAUGCUAAUCUCGAUCUAGUUUGCACUCCUCUUUGAAUGUCACUAAUGAUAUGAUCCAAUGGAUGAUCUCUUGCAAUAUUUGUUGGUUGGAGUAUUUGCACUUGAUUGCUUGCACUUGGUUGAUCAUGAGAUGAUGUACUAGCUUGUUGAUCUUGCACUUGUGUACCACUUGUACUAGCUUGAUUUUGAUCAUGAGAACCACUAGCUUGCACAUUUGAGGUAGGAAGCGCUUGAUCUUUGUCAUCUUCAACAUCAAUCACCUCUCUAGGCCUUAAAUCACCAAUAUCCAUGUUCUUCAUUGCAUCGGCCAAUUUAGUGCCCCUCACAUCAUCUAGAUUCUCAUCUUCCUCUUGAGAGCCAUAGGUUUCAUCAAACUCAACAUCAUGCACCUCUUCAAGAGUACCACUAGCCAAAUUCCAAACUCUAUAAGCUUUGCUAGUAGUAGAGUAACCAAGCAAGAAGCCUUCAUCACAUUUCUUUUCAAAUUUGCUCAAUCUAGUGCCUUUCUUCAAUAUGUAGCAUUUGCAUCCAAAAACCCGAAAGUAUGCAAUGUUAGGCUUUCUACCAUUCAAGAGCUCAUAUGGUGUCUUCUCCAUCAUUGGGUGACAAUAGAGUCGGUUGCUACAGCAGCAAGCCGUGUUGAUUGCUUCGGCCCAAAAAGAAUGACUCACAUUGUAUUCACUCAACAUUGAUCUUGCAAUGUCAAUCAAGGUUCUAUUCUUUCUCUCUACAAGAACAUUUGAUUGUGGACUGUACUUGGCCGAGAAUUGAUGCCUAAUGCCAAAUUCAUCACAAAGCUCAUCAACUCUUGUGUUCUUGAAUUCACUUCCAUUGUCACUUCUCACUUUCUUGAUGGUUGUUUCAAACUCGUUAUGUAUUCUCUUGACAAAUGAUUUGAAAGUUGCAAAAGCAUCACUCUUGUCACUAAGAAAGAAUACCCAUGUGUAUCUUGUGAAAUCAUCUACUAUCACAAAUCCAUAUUUAUUUCCACCAAUGCUUGUGUAUGUGGUUGGUCCAAAUAAGUCCAUGUGCAACAACUCAAAUGCCUUCCAUGUACUCAUGAUGCUCUUCUUUGGAUGAGUGUUGCCAACUUGCUUUCUGGCUUGACAUGCACUACAAAGCUUGUCUUUCUUAAAUGUGACAUCUUGCAAGCCUCUAACAAUAUCAUGCUUGAAUAACUUGUUUAAUUGUUUCAUUCCAACAUGACCAAGCCUUCUAUGCCAUAACCAACCCAUGCUAGAUUUAGUGAGCAAGCAUGUUGACAAUUUAGCAUCACUAGCAUUGAAAUCAACUAAGUAUAGAUUCUCAUAUCUAAAGCCUUUGAAUAUCAAGUUAGAUCCAUCUACACUUAUGAUCUCUACAUCAUCAACUCCAAAUAUGCAUUUGAAACCAAGAUCACAAAGUUGAGCUACGGAUAGCAAAUUGAAGUUCAAGCUCUCUACUAGUAGCACAUUGGAAAUGCUCAAGUUAUUGGAUAUAGCAAUUUUACCAAGCCCUUUGACCUUGGCUUUGCCAUUGUCACCAAAUGUGAUACUAUCAACACCAUUGUCAUCAUUUGGAUUGAUUGAAUUGAACUUGAAUCACCGGUCAUGUGUUGUGUGCACCCAUUAUCAAGUACCCAAUGCCUUCCUCCGGCUUUAUAAUUUACCUACAAAACAAAUCAAUGUUUCUUAGGUACCCACACUUGUUUGGGUCCUUGGAGGUUAGUGACUAAGCUUUUUGGUACCCAAAUGGCCUUCUUUUUUGGACCCACAAUUGGUGUACCAACAAACUUAGCAUGCACACCCUUCUCACCCUUGGUAAGCACAUAACAAGAAUCAAAUGGAAUGUAAGAUACAUUAGCAUUUUUCUUGUUCUUGUUCACUUUAUUACAAUUAAGCUCUAGGUGUCCAACUUGCUUGCAUUUGUUGCAGUACCAACCGUUGCUCUUCACAAAGCUAGGCUUGUGAGUUUCAAAGGUCGCCUUGCCUUUCUUGGGGGUAUAGCCUAAUCUCUCUUUGUUGAGAGAAAACCUUUGACUACCCAAGCACUUUAGCAAGCGGGCCUCACCACCAUAGGCCUUGCCUAGGGCGUGAGUGAGCUCAUCCACCCCUCUCUUGAGAGUCUCAUUCUCAACCUUUAGUGAGGUAUCACAAGUGACACUAACACUAGAAGUAGAGGUAGAGUUGGUGGUGGUGGAUGAAGACCUACAAGAAGAGUUAGUGGCAACAACAAUAGGUGGGUUGGGUGAUUCUUUAAUUAAGUCACAUGUUGUGCCCACAACACAUGAUACAACAACCUUUUCCCUGUUCUCUUCUAACAACAAGGAGUGAGUUUCUCAAGCUUGGUGUGAGCCUCGCCAAGCUUCUCAUGGGCUUUCACUAGCCUCUCAUGAUUAGCAUUGAGCUUAUCAAAGGAUUGCUCAAGAGCUUUUAACUUCUUGGCCAAUUCUUUGCACUUCUUGUUUUUAGAUUGAAUGAGAGAUUCGGCUUGUUCUAACAUGUCCAUGAGUUGUUCAUUAGUGAAUUCAUUUUCAUCAUCACUAUCACUAUCAUGUUCAUGUUCACUUUCACUUUCAUUGUAUUGUACCUUGUGGCCCUUGGCCAUGAAGCAUGAAGGAGUGUCGAAGAGUGAUGGCUUGUUGAUAGCAAUGCUUGCAAGUGCCUUCAUUUUUGAUGAUUUGUCAUCAUCGCUUGAGUCAUCAUCCGAAGAGGCAUCACUAUCCCAUGUCACAACAUAGGAUCAACCCUUCUUCUUCUUCUUGAAGACCAUCUUCUUCUCUUUCUUUUCUUUCUUCUCCUUCUUGUUCUUCUUGUUAUGCUCAUCAUUGUCACUAUUGUAAGGACAAUCCGCCACAAUAUGAUCGGGCCUCUUGCACUUGUAGCAUAGCCUCACAUAUUCCUUGUUCUUGGAGUUGUCCCUUCUCUUCCUUGUAUGGUAGCCCUUUUUCUUCAUCAUCUUGCCAAACUUGCGGACAAAGAGUGCUAGUGCUUCAUCAUCACUAUCAUCAUUGGAACACUCCUCAUCACUUGAUUCUUCCUUGUUCUUGCUCUUGGAUGAAGAGCUAGCUUUGAAUGCUACACUCUUCUUUUUCUUAUCAUCAUCCUUCUUCAUGACCUCAUCAUCGUAUAUUGAUCUUCGGUCAUGACAUCUCCAAGUACCUCAUUAGGAGAUACACCUGUCAAUCCACCUCUAAAGAUGAUUGUUCUCAAUGUCUUGAACCUCUUGGGCAAGCACAUCAAGAACUUGUGAAUGAAGUCCUCAUCCUUCACUUUCUCACCAAGGCCCUUGAGGUCAUUGAUGAUGACUUGGAGCCUAUAGAACAUUUUCGGAAUUGACUCAUCAUCCUUCAUAUUGAGUUUGAUAGCUUGUCCUUGAGCAUGUACAACUUGGCACUUUUUACCGUUGUAGUUACCUCAUAUGUUUCUUCUAGCCUUGUCCACACUUCACUUGCCUUCUCAAGAUCUUUGACUUGUUCAAAUACCUUUGAAUCAAUGCCAUAAUAGUUGUGUUGAGAGCCAUUGUAUUGCAUUGCUUGUUUGCUCUCUCAUUGUCGGUGGGGUUAGCGAGGUCAAGGAUCACAAAAUCAUUUUCCAUGACUUCCCACACUCUAUCAUUGAUUGAUCCAAGAUACAUUUUCAUUUUUCUCUUCCAAUAGUCAAAAGAACUUGUGUCAUCAAAGAACUGUGGUUUGCCCCCAACAUGGUCGAACACUAUUGAGCCAUAAUUUGAGCACCGAGGUUGUUAAGCCUUCACAAAACGGUGACCACGGCUCUGAUACCACUUGAAAGGUCCUUGGCUAGAGGGGGGUGAAUAGCCAAUUUAAAAAUCUACAAACUCACUAGAGCAAGAGGUUAGUAGAUAACAAGCAUAGCUUUUUGCUCUAGCUCUAAAGGGUUGUUUGCCAUCCACCUAUCCAACACUUCUAGUUGCUAUAAUCACUAAGCACACAAGAGCUAUGUCACUACUUACACUAGAGAGCUAUCUAAAGUUUCUAUACAAGUAAGUAAGCUACUCUAGUUUGUGGGAAUGUAAGAGAGAUGGUUUGAUCUUUAUACCACCGCGUAGAGAGGAUGAACCAAUCAAUAAUAUGAAGUCCAAUCACCGGGAGAAAUCCAAUGAACAGUCACAAUGGAGACACACAAUUUUCUCUCGAGGUUCGCAUGCUUUCUGGCACGCUACGUCCUUGUUGUGUCGACCAACACUUGGUGGUUCGGCGGCUAAGAGGUGUAGCACGAACCUUGUCCUCACUAGGACACCGCAAGAACUGAUCCACAAGUGAGGUAACUCAAUGACACGAGCAAUCCACUAAAGUUACCUUUCGGCUCUCCGCAGGGAAGGUACAAGACCCAUCACAAUCACCAGGAGAUGGCCACGAACAAUCACCAACUCGUGCCAAUGCUCCUCCGCUGCUCCAAGCCGUCUAGCUGGCGGCAACCACCAAGAGUAACAAGCAAACCGCAGCCAAAUCGAUCCCCAAGUGCCACUAGAUGCAAUCACUCAAGCAAAUGCACUUGGAAUCACUCCCAAUCUCACAAAGAUGAAUAAUCUAUGAAGGAUAUGAGAGGGAGGUGUUUGCUUAGGCUCACAAGAAUUCAAGUAUGCUAGAAUGCCAAGAGAGUGAGCCCUAAGCCGGCCAACAACUAUUUAUAAGCUCCUCAAAACAAAAAGAGCCGUUGGCUCUUUCACUGGGCUAAAAACGGGGUCACCUGACCUGCAGGGGGCACCAGACGCUCAACCCCUAUGUCCGGUGCUCCAGAAAUAGCCACGUGUUGCCCUAUCCACUUUCGCGCGUUGAUCUCUAACGGUCACCUGCAGAGCACCGGACGCGCUCAAGUUGGCACCAGACGCGUCCGGUACUCACCGGACUUAAACUUAGGGAGGUCUGCAAACUCGCGGGGUCACCAGACGCUGAGCACGGACCGUCCGGUGCUCACUGGUCUCAUACCCAAAGAGCAUUGCAAAAGCGCAGAACACUGUUGACGGUCCUUAAGUACUAAAAUUAAUAAUCAAAUAAACAUGAAAAAGGAUCAAUAUGAAACAAACAUCUAGAAUUAGGGUUUUAUCUGACAGAAUUCCACGAGCUUUGGUGUUUAUCUAUUUCUGCAGGGGGUUAUCAGAGAAUAUGGAGAGAAGGCCCACAUGUCAUGUUUACAACGAGAUAAUUACGUGCCGCGCAAUUUUCCUCAAUCUAGAAGAGUCCAGAAGCCACGGGAACGAACGAGAGCACGAUCGGGCUCGGGCGCAGGGCGGCCGCCCACCCCCCUUGGGCGCCCGCCCAGGGUUGGAACCCAAUCGGGACUCUGCUUCGGGACUACGCUCCACCGACCUAAAGGAUCAAUCUAAACCAUACAAUCUAUGUCGGUUUGAUCCAAUGGCUCACGUUCACUUGAGGGGACUAUAAAACCAAGGCCAAACCCCCCCUGGAGGGAGGAGAAGAGAAGAAAUCAUUAUUCAGAGGUAGCCAUCAAAGUUAGGGUUUAGAGCUUCUCUCCCAUAGAGGAUUAGAAUUAGCUACUCCCUAAUCCUUCAAGUUUAGAGGUUUCCAGAAAAGCACACAAGUAUCAGUUUCCAGAAGGAGCUCCUGUAGUGAAGGGAAGAGAGUAGAGAGAAAAGAGGAGAGUGGAAGAAAAGGUUGGGAGUUCUUUUGAUAGAGAGUUUAUCACCUAGCAAGUAGUGAUCCCGCUGUCCAAGCGGAAGUAAAAGUUGUUUAGGAAGUUCUGCUAAAAUAGAAAACUUAUCUUGAACAACUAACCCCUGGACUACUGACAUUCUGGACAGCUGACCACUAACAUUUUCUCUCACAUUUUCCACUAGUUGUGUUUUUGCCAACUUUUGUUUACAGGAUGUUUAAGAAGGUGAAGAAUGCAGGGAAGGCUCUCAAGAACAUUGGUACAAGGAGUUCAGUUCGACACUCCUCACAGCCAUCAGAGAUGAGCGUCGACCCGACACCCACACAAGCUCCGUCAUCCUCAUCAGGUCAGCAAGUUAAGAUCCUUCUCAAGAUAGGAGACCUUGGACUGAAGUCCCGAAGGGAGAAAGAAGUCUAUCAGCAGUUGAAAAACAAAGAUUUCAUUCACACCCCUACUAUCGAUCCAAUCUUACUACAAGAAACAGGUAUGGACACUGAAUUUAACUUAAUUUUCCAGAUGUUAGGUUGGACAAAUUUUUGGAAUAUAACUGAGCUGGGUUCUCAUCUUCUCACCCUCGAAUUUCUUUGCACUUUACAAUACUAUGAGGGGGGAAUUGUUUUUCGGAUGUUCAAACAGGAAAUUAUGUUGUCUUGGAGAGAGUUGAGCGACCAUCUUGGUUUCUCUUCAAGAUGCAUCCUGAACAUUGACUCCGAUUUACCCAAUUUUGAGAGAUAUCAGUUUUGGAGAGAAAUAUCUAGAGAUAAUUUUUAUAGUCAAGCCCGAACCGGUGACAUGGAACACCCCACUCUUAGGAUGUUCCACAAAUGGCUUGGGUACAAUCUUUUCUAUCGUGAUGAUAUUAGGAAAGUAAGAGUGGGAGAUUUACAACUUUUAUAUGCUGCUAUUAGUAAAGUACCUACUUCACCUGUUACACUAUUAGUUUCUCAUUGGCUUAGUAUACCUAGUCUGCAGGGACCAGUAGGAUGUACUUCACUUAUCACUCGUCUAGCCUUUAAUCUUCACUUACUAGAAAACUCAUCGUUGGAUUUCAUAGAGGAAUUAAGAAUUUAUCAUGGCUAUGACACAUUUAGACAAGCUCGGAUGUUAAAGAAAGAGGGGAAUGUAAUGCAUAUGCUAUAUGAUGAUAAAGGCAAGAUUCGGUUACCUAACCCGAACCUUGGCCUCUACGUUGUGCAAAACUUUUUGAUUGAGAUUGCAGCAACACCAGUGAACCAGAGAACUCCACAGCGAGUGGCAUCUGAAAGGGUGACCACUCACCGAGAACGCACCUGGUAUGGAGCUGACCCUGGACCAGAAGAAGCAGCGCACCUGCAUUAUUGCGAUUACAACCCUCGAGUCCUUCGAGACCCAUGGGUUCGACAUGCGCAACCACAAGAGCCAACAGAGGAGACAUGGCCGGAGAGCCAAGAUCACCAGUGGACAAACCCGCCUUUUCAUACGGGCAGGUACUCCACUGAUCCAUAUGGAGCUUCAGGAUCCAGACCUCCGCCCCAAUUUGAUGCAGGACGAUACUCUGAUGCCUCCAACGCUUUCACGAAUGAUUACUAUCAAGAGGCCGGUGCUUUCUUUACUCGUACCGACAACACCCUCCUCGACAUCCAGAACACGCAAGCAGAACAUGGAAGACUCCUGGAAGAGCAACAAAAAUGGAACCAGGACCAUGCUGCUGCAGUAGAAGAGCUGAGACAAGAUACAACAACAAUGAACGAUAACAUCACAACUAUGAUGCGGUUCUGGAACAUCAGGUAAGACCGACGUCAACAUCCAGCUUGAGGGAGUUCCUCCCCAAUUUAUCAAGUAAGUUUUUAUUUGCUCUUCUUAUUUAUUCUUUUCUAUUUUAGUAUUUUAUCUUAAAAGGAAAAACUUAGAAAACCCAAUAAAUAUUUUCUCGCUUUAAUUUACUGCACUUUAUAAACAUGAAAACAAAAUAAAAAGAGUGUGUAGAUAAGUGUGCUUUAUUUAUCUGCUAAGUUUAAUCUCUAGAAAAAACAAAAAGACCAAAAAGAUGCAUGAUGGAAAUAAUGAACAGUUGCUCUGGUUGCUUACUUUUAAGUACCUAGCUUUUAUAUUAGAAUUCUUCCAGGAAUUACUAAAACUGAAAUUACUCUCUUUGGGAAGCAUAAAACUGAAGUCUAGGUAAGCGAAAGGCAUAAUACAAAGUUUGAGCUGCUGUUUAUCUUGUUCCUACUACACUAAGUUCUGGAGAUUUAUUUUAAAAACUUACAAAUCACAUGAUGGGUUCCUAGCAUAACAAAACUACCUACCACAGCCAUACUUGCUAUAACAUCUUUUACUAUAUUUGCAUUGAGUUUGAUCGAGCUGUGUUGACCCUUAGGAGCUUUUCAUGUGGUUAAAUUAAAAUAUUCACUUGCACACAUCUACCAUAGCAUUCAUCACCAAUCAUUAAAAUUGCUAAAAAUAUUAUCACUCACUGUCCCAAAUAUUGUUAUUCUCUCUCUCUAAAAAGAUUCAAUGCAGAAGAGGCAUGGGUUAUGCAAAAAUAUACAAGGAAAUAAAAAGGGGCAAGUGCCCGGAACCUCGAUAAAAGAAAAAAAAGAGAGUAAGACGAGAGGUAAAAAUGGACAAGUGUCCGAAGUAGAAUUAGGGGUACAAAGAUGCCCACUUGAGCGGAAAAAAAUGGACAAGUGUCCGACAGUAGAAUUAGGGGUAUCUACUACCCACCUAAAAAAAAAGAAAAGAAAAAGAGAUAGCCCAUGUUCCCCCAAAGCAAAGAUCAAAGAGGAGGAGAGAUAGCAUGUGUGCCUGUCAGGAAAGAAAACAUCGAAGAACCUUCUGAUUCGUCUAAGUUUAGCUAUUUGCUCAGGGACGAGCAAAGGGUAAGCUUGGGGGAGUUUGUUGAUGGUCCUUAAGUACUAAAAUUAAUAAUCAAAUAAACAUGAAAAAGGAUCAAUAUGAAACAAACAUCUAGAAUUAGGGUUUUAUCUGACAGAAUUCCACAAGCUUUGGUGUUUAUCUAUUUCUGUAGGGGGUUAUCAGAGAAUAUGGAGAGAAGGCCCACAUGUCAUGUUUACAACGAGAUAAUUACGUGCCGCGCAAUUUUCCUCAAUCUAGAAGAGUCCAGAAGCCACGGGAACGAACGAGAGCACGAUCGGGCUCGGGGGCAGGGCGGCCGCCCACUCCCCUUGGGCGCCCGCCCAGGGUUGGAACCCAAUCGGGACUCUGCUUCGGGACUACGUUCCACCGACCUAAACGAUCAAUCUAAACCAUACAAUCUAUGUCGGUUUGAUCCAAUGGCUCACGUUCACUUGAGGGGACUAUAAAACCAAGGCCAACCCCCCCUGGAGGGAGGAGAAGAGAAGAAAUCAUUAUUCAGAGGUAGCCAUUAAAGUUAGGGUUUAAGGCUUCUCUCCCACAGAGGAUUAGAAUUAGCUACUCCCUAAUCCUUCAAGUUUAGAGGUUUGAUUAGAUAGCAAUUAGAGAAGUAGAGCACUACGCUUUGGAUUCAGAUCUUCGGUAAUAAAGAUUGGUAUUAUUCAUAUCUUUCUCUAAUUCUUUGUUCUAAUUGCAUUAUGUCGCUAAUUAUUAUGUUCUUAGUUUGUUCUAGUUCUAUAUUUGAUAUAGUUCUAAUUGAUAAUGAGUUUAUGUAUAAGUUUGCAAAGCGCUUAGCUCUUGACGCGAGGGAGUUAGGUGAUAGAUCACAUGUGAGCGUGGUGCUUAGAUGUUAUUUAUCUGCAAAUGUAUCCUAUUGGCCGGGUCGUGUGGUAGUUCGCGAUAGUGAUAGCUUCGUUGAUUCUUAUAUAGUCCACCCUCCGUUGAUAGGACAGGCAGAACCGGUAUUGUGGAGUAAGUCAUGCGAUGCUCUUAUUUACUUUAUCAAUGUUCCUUAUACAUGAAUGAAGAGUCUUUUAUGCUAUAUAUGAUCUUGUAGAUAACUAGAGUAGAUUUUGACUUAGUAGUUAGUAGAUAACUUAGAAUCCAUUCUCUAGCUAAUCCGACAUCACCUACAUAUGAGGAGUAGUCUAUUUUCUAAUCGCUGUGUUAUCUACCCAUGAACUUAUAAUUCAUUAUCAUUAUCUUUAUGGUUUACCCCCUGCUAAAGUAAGUGACUGUGUGACGAGUUUCUCAUUAGUAAUCAUGUUCUUGCAAGUUCAUCUCUAGUCUAUGCCUUGAUAGAUUUUGCCCCUUGAAUUAAUUUCAUCUUCUUUAGAUCCCUUGAGCAAAAUUAUAAAUAACGAUACCUGGAAUACUUAUCCUGGUGAAAUGCUACAAUGAGGUGUUUUAUCUGUGUGCUUGCAGAUAGAAUAGAUUAUUUUCUAGAGAGCCUUUACAUUUAUAAAUACCUUUGUACACUCUGGCACCAUGCUGGGGAUGACAACCUAGUAUCUAAGUGGUGCUAGCUAGUGUCAACAAACACUGGAAUCAAAACAUCGGAUGCUCAAACAGGGUCUAACCUACGUCCGGUGCUGGGCAUCAGGUGCCUAACCCUAGCUGAGCUAGGCACUGCCUACACAUCGGACGCACAGACACAGCGUCCGGUGCCUCUGAGCCAGCGUCCGGUGAGUGUUUGUGACUUCUCCAGUUUUCCCACUGGUGCAAUAAAAAAUUGCACGUUAUUUUCUCAAAAAAAGCGCCAAAUCAAAUUGUGCCAACACCACAAUGUGUAAACCAACAUGUGCACGUGUGUUAGAAUUUUCACAAACAUUUUCUUCAAAGGAGUUAAGUUAGCUCACUAGGUUCUAAAUGCAUGCACAUGAAUAAUAACACCUAGUGGCACUUGAUAACCGCUUAGCCAAAGAAUUCCCCUCUUUAUAGUAUGGCUAUCUAUCCUAAAUGUGAUCACACCCUUUAUGGUGUCUUGAUCACCAAAACCAAAACCCUAAGCAAUACCUUUGCCUUGAUCUCCAUAGGGUUUUGUUUUUCUCUUUCUUCUUUUCCAGGUUGAGCACUUGAUCAUCUUGUGGUCAUCACCAUGAUCAUCUCUUGCUCCAUCACUUGGCAUGUACCAACCUCAUUAAGUCUACACACACUUAGUAAGGUUAGUACUAGGGUUUCAUCAAUUAUCCAGAACCAAACUAGGGCUUUCAACAGUUUGCGCCUAAUGCACCAUAGUCUAAGAAACCAUUUUGGACGCACCUGUUGGUACUCCUAGGUUAAGAGGCUCAAGUGGAAGCUCAGUUUGGUCUUUUUGGAGAUAGUGCUAAUCUUGAUGCAAUAUAGGUGCACAGUUUGCAUGGAACGUACCAUAUGCUCAAAAAUCAAUUUGGACGCACUAGAUGGAAGACCUAGAUGACGUGUGUCAUAUGGAAUCUCGCUUUGGUCUGUUUGGGGACAGUGUUGGUUUUAGUGGAGUGCACGGUUUGCGCCUAACACACCAUAGGCUAAGAAACUAUUUUUGAUGCACCCAAUGGUGGAAGCUUGGUUUGGUCUGUUUGGAGAUAGUGCUAAUCUUGAUGCUAGAUAGGUGCAUAGUUUGCAUGGAACAUACCAUAUGCUCGGAUAUCAAUUUGGACGCACCCAAUGGAACUCCUAGAUGACAUGUGUUAUAUGGAAUCUUGCUUCGGUUUGAUUAGAGACAAUGUUAGUGUCGGUGCAAGAUAGGUGCACGGUUUGCACCUAAUGCACCAUAGGCUAAGACACCAUUCUGGAUGCACUUGUUGGUACUCCUAGGUGAAGAUGCUCAAGUGAAAGCUCGGUAUGAUCUGCUUGGAGAUAGUGCUAAUUUUCAUGUAAGAUAGGUGCAUGGUUUGCUUGGAACGUAUCAUAUGCUUGAAAAUCAAUUUAGACACACCCGAUAGAACUCCUAGAUGAUGUGUGUCAUAUGUAAUCUCGCUUUGGUCCAUUUGGAGGAAGUGUUAGUUUUGGUGCAAUUUGCGCCUAAUGGACCAUAGGCUAAGAAACAAUUUUGGAUGCACCCGAUGGUACUCCUAGGUAAAGGGGCUCAAGUAAAAGCUCGGUUUGGUCUGUUUGGAGAUAGUGCUAAUCUUCAUGCAAGAUAGUUGCACGGUUUGCAUGGAACUUACUAUAUGCUCGGAAAUCAAUUUGGAUGCACCCAGUGGAACUCCUAGAUGACGAGUGUCAUAUGGAAUCUCGCUUCGGUCUGUUUGGAGACAGUGUUAGAUUCGGUGCAAGAUAGCUGCACGGUUUGUGCCUAAUGCACCAUUGGCUAAGAAACAAUUUUGGACGCAUCUGAUGGUACUCAUAGGUAAAGGGGCUCUAGUGAAAGCUUAAUUUGGUAUGUUCGAAGAUAGUGCUAAUCUUUAUGCAAGAUAGGUGCACGGUUUGCACGGAAUGUACCAUAUGCUCAGAAAUCAAUUUGGAUGCACCCGAUGAACUCCUAGAUGACGUGUGUCAUAUGGAAUCUCACUUCGGUCCGUUUGGAGAUAGUGUUCGUUUCGGUGCAAGAUUGGUGCAUGGUUUGCGCCUAAUGCACCAUAGGCUAAGAAACCAUUAUGGAAGCACCCGAUGGUACUCCUAGGUGAAGAGGCUGAAGUGAAAGCUUGCUACGAUCUGUUUGGAGAUAGUGCUAAUCUUCAUGUAAGAUAGGUGCAUGAUUUGUAUGGAACGUACCAUAUGCUUGAAAAUCAAUUUGAACGCACCCGAUAGAACUCCUAGAUGAUGUGUGUCAUGUGAUAUCUCGCUUUGGUCUAUUUGCAGAUAGUGUUAGUUUUAGUGCAAGAUAGGUGCACGGUUUGUGCCUAAUGCACCAUACUCUAAGAAGAUAUUGCACGGUUUGUGACUAAUGCACCAUACUCUAAGAAAUGAUUUUGGACACUCCCGAUGGUACUCCUAGGUGAAGGGGCUCAAGUGAAAGCUCAGUUUGGUCUGUUUGGAGAUAGUGCUAAUCUUGAUGCAAGAUAGGUGCACAGUUUGCAUGGAAUGUACCAUAUGCUCAGAAAUCAAUUUGGAUGCACCCGAUAGAACUCCAAGAUGACGUGUGUCAUAUGGAAUCUCACUUCGGUCCAUUUGGAGAUAGUGUUAGUUUUGGUGCAAGAUAGGUGCACGGUUUGUGUCUAAUGCACCAUAGGCUCAAAAACCGUUGUGGAAGCACCCAAUGAUACUUCUAUGUGAAGAGGCUCAAGUGAAAGCUUAGUACAAUCUAUUUAGAGAUAUUGUUAGUUUUGGUGCAAGAUAGGUGCACGGUUUGUGCCUAAUGCACCAUACUAUAAGAAAACAUUUUUGAUGCACCCAAUGGUACUCCUAGCUGAAGAGGCUCAAGUGGAAGCUCGGUUCGGUCUAUUUAGAGAUAGUGCUAAUCUUGAUGCAAGAUAGUUGCACGGUUUGCAUGGAGCGUACCAUAUGCUCGAAAAUCAAUUUGGACACACCUGAUGGAACUCCUAGAUGACAUGUGACAUAUAGAAUCUCGUUUUGGUCUAUUUGGAGACAGUGUUAGUUUUGGUGCAAGAUAUUGCAUGGUUUGUGCCUAAUGCACCAUAGGCUAAGAAACCAUUUUGGACGCACCAAUUGGUAUUGCUAGGUGAAGAGGCUCAAGUGGAAGCUCGGUUCGUUCUGUUUGGCGAUAGUGCUAAUCUUGAUGCAAGAUAGGUGCACGGUUUGCUUGGAAUGUCCCAAAUGCUUGGAAAUCAAAUUGGAUGCACCCGAUGGAACUCUUAGAUGAAGUGUGUCAUAUGGAAUCUCGCUUCGGUUCGUUUGGAGACAAUAUUAGUUUCAGUGCAAGAUAGGUGCACAGUUUGCACCUAAUGCGCCAUAGUCUAAGCAACCAUUUUGGACACACCUGUUGGUACUCCUAGGUGAAGAGGCUCAAGUGGAAGCUCGGUUUGGUCUAUUUAGAGAUAUUGCUAAUCUUGAUGCAAGAUAGGUGCACUAUUUGUGUGGAACAUAUCAUAUGCUCAGAAAUCAAUUUGGACAUACCCAAUGAAACUCCUAGAUGACGUGUGUCAUAUGGAAUCUUGCUUCGGUCUGUUUAGAGACAGUGUUAGUUACGGUGCAAGAUAGGUGCACGGUUUGCGCCUAAUGUGAUGUGUGUCACAUGGAAUCUAGCUUCAGUCUGUUUGGAGACAGUGUUAUAUUCAGUGCAAGAUAGGUGCACGGUUUGCGCCUAAUGCACCAUACCCUAAGAAACGAUUUUUUACGCACCCGAUGGUACUGCUAGGUAAAGGGGCUCAAGUGAAAGCUCGGUGUUGUCUGUUUGGAGAUAGUGCUAAUCUUGAUGCAAGAUAGUUGCACGGUUAGCAUGGAAUGUACCAUAUGCUCAGAAAUCAAUUUGGAUGCACCCGAUAGAACUCCUAGAUGACGUGUGUCGUACGGAAUCUCACUUUAGUCCAUUUGGAGAUAGUGUUAGUUCUGGUGCAAGAUAGGUGCACGGUUUCUCCCUAAUGCACCAUAGGCUCAUAAACCAUUGUGGAAGCACCCGAUGGUACUCCUAGGUGAAGAGGCUCAUGUGAAAGCUCGGUACGAUCUGUUUGGAGAUAGUGCUAAUCUUCAUGUAAGAUAGGUGCACGAUUUGCAUGGAACAUACCAUAUGUAUGAAAAUCAAUUUGGACGCACCUGAUAGAACUCCUAGAUUAUGUGUGUCAUCUGAUAUCUCGCUUUGGUCUGUUUGAAGAUAGUGUUAGUUUUGGUGCAAUAUGGUGUAUGGUUUGUGCCUAAUGCACCAUACUCUAAGAAGAUAUUGCACGGUUUGUGCCUAAUGCACCAUACUUUAAGAAACGAUUUUGGACGCACCCGAUGGUACUCCUUGGUGAAGGGGCUCAAGUGAAAGCUCGGUUUGGUCUGUUUGGAGAUAGUGCAUCUUGAUGCAAGAUAGGUGCAUGGUUUGCAUAGAAUGUCCCAUAUGCUCGGAAAUCAAUUUGGAUGCACCUGAUGGAACUCCUAGAUGACGUGUGUCAUAUGGAUUCUCACUUCAGUUCGUUUGGAGACAAUAUUAGUUUCAGUGCAGAAUAGGUGCACAGUUUGCGCCUAAUGCACCAUAGGCUAAGAAACCAUUUUGAAUGCACCUAUUGGUACUCCUAGGUGAAGAGGCUCAAGUGGAAGCUCGGUUCGGUCUGUUUCGAGACAGUGCCAACCUUAAUGCAAGAUAGGUGCAUAGUUUGCAAUGGACAUACCAUAUGCUUAGAAAUCAAUUUGGAUGCACCCAAUGGAACUCCUAGAUGACGUGUGUCAUAUGGAAUCUCGCUUCGGUUUGUUUGGAGACAGUGUUAGUUUCGGUGCAAAAUAGAUGCAUAGAUUGCGCCUAAAGCACCAUAGGCUAAGAAAUCAUUUUGGAUGCACCUAUUGGUACUCCAAGGUGAAGAGGCUCAAGUGGAAGGUCGGUUCGGUUUGUUUGGCGAUAGUGCAAACCUUGAUGCAAGAUAGGUGCAUGGUUUGCAUGGAAUGUCGCAUAUGCUCGGAAAUAAAUUUGGAUGCACCCGAUGGAACUCCUAGAUGAUGUGUGUCAUAUGGAAUCUCGCUUCAGUCCAUUUGGAGACAAUAUUAGUUUCAGUGCAAGAUAGGUGCACAGUUUGCACCUAAUGCACCAUAGUCUAAGAAAACAUUUUGAACACACCAGUUGGUACUGUUAGUUGAAGAGGCUCAAAUGGAAGCACGGUUUGGUCUGUUUCGAGACAGUGCUAAUCUUAAUGCAAGAUGGGUGCACAGUUUGCAUGAAACGUACCAUAUGCUCAGAAAUCAAUUUGGACGCACCCGUUGGAACUCCUAGAUGACGUGUAUCUUGUGGAAUUUCAUUCGGUCUGUUCGAAGAGUGUUAGUUUCAGUGCAAGAUAGGUGCACGGUUUGCGCCUAAUGCACAAUAGGCUAAAAACCAUUUUGGACACACCCGAUGGUACUCCUAGGUGAAGAGGCUCAAGUGAUAGCUCGGUUCGGUUUAUUUGGAGAUAGUGCUAAUAUUGAUGCAAGAUAGGUGUACAGUUUGCAAGGAAAGUACCAUAUGCUCAGAAAUCAAUUUGGACACACCUGAUGGAACUCGUAGAUGACGUGUCUCAUAUGGAAUCUCGCUUUGGUCCGUUUUAAGAUAGUGUUAGUUUUGGUGCAAGAUAGGUGCACAGUUUGCGCCUAAUGCACCAUAGUCUAAGAAACAAUUUUGGAAAAUCUGUUGGUACACAAAGGUGAAGAGGCUCAAGUGGAAGCUUGGUCCGGUCUGUUUGGAGAUAGUGCUAAUCUUGAUACAAGAUAGGUGCAUGGUUUGCAUGGAACGUACCAUAUGCUCGGAAAUCAAUUUGGACACACCCAAUGGAACUCCUAGAUAAUGUGUGUCAUAUGGAAUCUUGCUUCAGUCCGUUUGGAGACAAUAUUAGUUUUGGUGCAAGAUAGGUGCACAGUUUGCACCUAAUGCACCAUAGUCUAAGAAACCAUUUUGAACGCACCUAUUGGUACUACUAGGUGAAGAGGCUCAAGUAGAAGCUCGGUUUGGUCUGUUUCGAGACAGUGCUAAUCUUAAUGCAAUAUACAUGCACAAUUUGCAUGAAACGUACCAUAUGCUCAGAAAUCAGUUUGGACGCUCCCAUUGGAACUCCUAUAUGACGUGUAUCAUAUGGAAUCUCGUUCGGUCUGUUUGGAGAGUGUUAGUUUCAGUGCAAGAUAGGCACACGGUUUGUGCCUAAUGCACCAUUGGCUAAACACCAUUUUGGACACACCCGAUGGUACUCCUAGGUGAAGAGGCUCAAGUGAAAGCUCGGUUCGGUCUAUUUGGAGAUAGUGCUAAUCUUGUUGCAAGAUAGGUGUAUAGAUUGCAUGGAAAGUACCAUAUGCUCAGAAAUCAAUUUGGACGCACCUGAUAGAACUCGUAGAUGACGUGUGUCAUAUGGAAUCUCGCUUUGGUCCGUUUGAAGACAGUGUUAGUUUUGGCGCAUGAUAGGUGCAUAGUUUGCGCCUAAUGCACCAUAGCCUAAGAAACCAUUUUGGAAAAUCUAUUGGUACUCAAAGGUGAAGAGGCUCAAGUGGAAGCUUGGUCCGGUCUGUUUGGAGAUAGUGCUAGUCUUGAUGCAAGAUAGGUGCAUGGUUUGCAUAGAAUGUACCAUAUGCUUAGAAAUCAAUUUGGACGCACCCGAUAGAACUCCUAGAUAAUGUGUGUCAUAUGGUAUCUCACUUCGGUUUGUUUGAAGAUAGUGUUAGUUUCGCUGCAACAUAGGUGCAUAGUUUGCGCUUUAUGCACCAAAGUCUAAGAAACCAUUUUGGACGCAUCUAUUGGUACUUCUAGGUGGAGAGGCUAAAGUGGAAGCUCGGUUUAGUCUAUUUGGAGAUUGUGCUAAUCUUGAUGCAAGAUAGGUGCACAGUUUGCACAGGACAUACCAUAUUCAAGGAAAUAAAUUUAGACACACCCGAUGGAACUCUUAGAUGACGUGUGUCAUAUGGAGUCUCGCUUCGGUCUGUUUAGAGACAGAGUUAGUUUCGGUGCAAGAUAGGUGCACAGUUUGUGCCUAAUGCACAUAGGCUAAGAAAUGAUUUUGGACGCACCCGAUUAUACACCUAGGUAAAGGGGCUUAAGUGAAUGCUCGGUUUGGUCUGUUUGGAGAUAGUGCUAAUCUUGAUGUAAGAUAGGUGCACGGUUUGCAUGGAAUGUACCAUAUGCUUAGAAAUCAGUUUGGAUGCACCCGAUAGAACUCUUGGAUGACGUGUGUCAUAUGGAUUCUCACUUUGGUCCACAUGGAGAUAGUGUUAGUUUCGGUCCAAGAUAGGUGCUCGGUGUGCAUGAAAUAUACCAUAUGCUUGAAAAUCAAUUUGCACACACCCGAUAUAACUCCUAGAUGAUGUGUGUCAUAUAAUAUCUCACUUUGGUCCAUUUGGAGAAAGUGUUAGUUUUGGUGCAAGAUCGGUGCACGGUUUGUGCCUAAUACACCAUACUCUAAGAAACCAUUUUGGACGCAACCGAUGGUACAAUCCACUGAAGAGGCUCAAGUGGAAGCUCGGUUCGGUCUAUUUGGAGAUAGUGCUAAUCUUGAUGCAAGAUAGUUACAUAGUUUGCAUGGAACAUACCUUAUGCUCAGAAAUCAAUUUGGACGCAUCCGAUAGAACUUCUAGAUGACGUGUGUCAUAUGUAAUCUUGCUUUGGUCCAUUUGGAGUAAGUGUUAGUAUCGAUGCAAGAUAGGUGCACGGUUUGCGCCUAAUGCACCGCAGGCUAAGAAACCAUUUUGGACGCACCCAAUGGUACUCCUAGGUGAAGUGGCUCAAGUGAAAGCUCGGUUCAGUCCAUUUGGAGAUAGUGCUACUCUUGAUGCAAAAUAGGUGCACAGUUUACAUGGAACGUACCAUAUGCUUGAAAAUCAAUUUGGUCGCACCUGAUGGAACUCCUAGAUGACGUGUUUCAUAUAGAAUCUCGUUUCGGUCCGUUUGGAGACAGUGUUAGUUUUGGUGCAAGAUAGGUGCAUAGUUUGUGCCUAAUGCACCAUAGCCUAAGAAACCAUUUUGGGUGCACCUGUUGGUACUCCUAGAUGAAGAGGCUCAAGUGCAAGCUGGGUUCGGUCUGCUUGGAGAUACUGCUAAUCUUGAUGCAAGAUAGGUGCAUGGUUUGCAUGGAACAUACCAUAUGCUCAGAAAUCAAUUUCGACGCACCCGAUGGAACUCCUAGAUGACGUGUGUCAUAUGGAAUCUCGAUUUGGUCCGUUUGGAGAUAGUGUUAGUUUCGGUGCAAGAUAGGUGCACAUUGGAACUAUGCACCUAUCUUAGACUAUGGUGCAAGAUUCCAUAUGACACACAUCUUGCCUAUGGUGCAAGAUAGGUAUCUUCUACCAAAACUAACACUGUCUCUAAACGAACCGAAGCAAGAUUCCAUAUGACACAUCAUCAAGGAGUUAUAUUAGGUGCGUCCUAAUUGAUUUAUGAGCAUAUCGUAUGUUCCAUGCAAACCGUGCAUCUAUCUUGCAUCAAGAUUAGCACUAUCUCCAAACAAACCAAACCGAGCUUUCACUUGAGCACCUUGACCUAGUAGUACCAUCAAGUGCAUCCAAAAUGGUUUCUUAUCCUAUGGUGCAUUAGGUGCAAACCAUGCACCUAUCUUGCACCGAAACUAACAUUGUCUCCAAAUGGACCGAAGUGGGAUUCCAUAUUACACAUGUCAUCUAGAAGUUCCAUCUGGUGCAUCCAAAUUGAUUUCCAAGCAUAUGUAUGUUCCAUGCAAACCGUGCACCCAUCUUGCAUCAAGAUUAGCACUAUCUCCAAACAGACCGAACCAAGCUUCCACUUGAGCCUCUUCAUCUAGGAGUACAAACAGGUAUGUCAAAAAUGGUUUCUUAGACUAUGGUGCAUUAGGCACAAACUAUUGUUGGGUAUUCUUAACAUCAUUACCAAAAGUAGACUAAGUUCUCUAAAUCUAGUAACGGUGCCAAAAAUGCCAAACCUAUCCCUCAUACCACUUAAGCCAAGUUGUCAUCCCCAGCAUGAUAUAAGAGACGCGGUAUUGAAAUAUGCAAUUGCUCUUCUAAAUAAAUAAUGAAUGGGAUCUGCAAGCACACAGAUUAAUACCGAUGUAGCCUUUUAACCGGGAAGUAUUCCAGGUAUCGUUAUUUAUAUUUUUACCACUGGGAAGGGAUUCGCAAUCAUCACUAUUGAUUACAUAAUAGAAUAUGAGAUUGAGCAUCUAUCAUUGCAUGUAUAAUUGAGAACAUUAUAUCUAACUCUUCAUACAGGGAUAAGUGUCACAUAAAAUAUAUAUGAAGUAAUAAUAGUGACAAGGAUAAUUAAUCUGAUCUAGCCACAUAAUAAAUAUGAUAAGCACCUCAAUUAGAUACUCUAGAAAGUCAUUAGCAUGGUAUUAGAACGAACUACAAGAAUAUUCCCUAAGUUAUUCUCAACUAUAUAGUCUAGCAUUAUCAUAGUUAGUGCAAGCAUACUUAGCAAUCAUUGCGAGACAAGACUACGCCCAUGCAUAAUGAUAUUAGCAAGGAAUAUGAGAAACAUAGCAAUCACUCCCCUGUAAUAAUGUUGCUCUGCCAGCCCAAUACACGAGAGGGGGACUAUAUAAGAAUCAAUGAAGCUGUCACUAUCAUGAACCAGCCCACGAUCUGGCAUAUUGGGUACAAUCGCAGAUAAAUACGGUAUAAGCACCACGCCUACACAAUAUCUAUCAUUUACCCAUGGAUCCGAUGGAUAAACGCUAUACGAUCCUAAGCAUGUAUAUAGAUCGAAUCUAACUAAGCCAAGUACAUAACUAUGAUAAACUAAGAACAAUAUAAUCUUGAAUAUAAGCAAGUAGAGCAAAGUCAUAAGCAAUAUAUUGAAAUAGAACAAAGUCAUAUUCAUAAUAUUGAAGAACAAAGAUAAUUAGAAAGCUAGAACCACAAUUAGAGAAUUACCAAGAAUCCUCCUGACAGAUCCGGAAACCAAUCGAAGAUUGACUCCUUCUAGUUCUAAUCCUAUGUAGCUAUGCUAAUCUAGAUAUCUAAUUGAUGUGGUGGCUAUAAUCUUGAUCAGAGGCUUCUUCUCCCUUGAUGGAACAAUGAAUUAGGGUUGAGAGGCUCUCUCCUCCAGGGGCCAGGGGGUCUGGUUUUAUAGUCCCUCCAAGUGAAUACGGGCCGUUGGAUCAAACCGACAUAGAUUGUAUGGUUUAGAUUCAUCCUUUAGGUCGGUGGAGAUCUCCCGCGAAGCAGAGUCCUGAUUGGACUCAGGGGCAGGGCGGGCGCCCAGUAGGACAGGGCGGGCGCCCUGUCUCUGGCCCCGUUUCGCCUCCGCUUCGGUCUUGUGGCUUCUGGAGUCUUCUAGAUGUAAGAUAAUUGCGCAGCACGUUAAUAUCUUUACGUAAUCCCGACGUGUCGGCCUUUCUUCCGUAUUUCCUGAUAACCCCCUGCAGAAAUAGACAAACACCAAAACUCGUGGAAUUCUGUCAGAUAAAACCCUAAGUCUAGAUGUUGAUUUCAUUUGGAUCCUUUUCUUUAUUUAUUUGAUAAUUAAAUUUGAUACUUAAGGACCGUCAGCAAACUCCCCCAAGCUUACCUCUUGCUCGUCCCUGAGCAAGGAUAGACUCAGCUAUGGAUCAUAAGUUGUUGCAAUAUUUAAAAAUUGACGGUACACAUGCUUUUUAAAUAAGAUCUCAUCUCUGAGUUAGAGUAAACUGUCAAGACUUAAAACUUACUUACUUUACCUUCACCAUGGGACUUGUAACCAUCACUUCUAUCUUGAGUGGUUAAAAGAUAGAACAGUCUAGCCAAGUGCCAUGUCUCUUAUUCUUGAUCAGCUAUAGCUCUGGAGUUUUUGCAGUUUUUCAAAUAAAACUCAGAGACUCCUUGUAUGAUUCUCUCAGAUCUCUCUUUUGUGGUAUUUUUGGAUCCUUACCAAGGCAGUGAUGGUAUAUGCCUUCUCUCAAGAUAUGUGGUAUUUGUGGUAUAAAGCAUAGUGACAUUGCCUUCUCUCUCACCCUACUCUAAUAAGGCUUUAAUAUCUGGAGCUCAUAGGUGGGAGAUAAAUUAUACAUACUUACAAGACAUUUAUUGCAUAGUCAAACCAUGGAUCCAAAUAAACAAAUCAAUAAGCCAAAUCAAGAUGUGCAUGUGUGGCGAAUGAAUGGUGUAUGGUGAUGAUGGUGAUAACAAUGGUGGGAACAAUGGUGGUGGUCUAAUUCUACUUUGCUCUUUGAGGGGAUACAUACCUUCCUUGCUUUUUGAAACUUUAUGAGGAGAAUGAGAUGCUCUUCUUUUUCUUUUCUCUCAGGUGGGUAUCUGGUACCCCUAAUUCUACUGUCAGACACUUGUCCAUUUUUACCUCUCGUCUCACUUUUUUUUUCUCUCGAGGUUCCGAGCACUUGCUCCUUUUUAUUUCCUCGUAUAUAUAUAUAUAUUUUUAUAUUUUAUUUUCUUUUUAUUUUUUUCAGAGCAUUCAUCUCUUGAGAUAACAUAGCAAGUGGUAGUGACAAGAUAACUUGAGCAUUUAUUUCACAAGGGAAAAACAGGAAUAUUUUUGGUUAUUCUCUCCCGGAUUAGGAGUAGAACAUUUUUAGGUGGUUCUGGAGAUGGAAAUGGAUGGAUAUAUGUGGAUGGUACUUCCGGAGUAGAAGUAGCAUAUAUGAGUGGACGUGCAAGUGAAAUCUUGAUUUAACCACAUGACAAGCUCCUAAGGGUCUACACGGCUUGACCACACUCAAUGCUCAUAAGCAGUAAAUAAUAAAUGUGUGGCUCAAAGUCUAGCAAGCAUGUAUAUAUGGCUGUGGUAGGAAUUUAAACUCUCAUCAUACAGGAACUCAUCAUGCAACAUUUUAAAGAUUUUCAAAGAUAAAAUUCUCCAGAAUUCUAGCAUCUCUAGGAACAGAUAAACAGCAGCUCAACCUUUCCAUAUCAUAUCCGUUAACAACUUAGACUUUAGAUCAAGUUUUCAUCCCACAAGUUUAGGUCUAGAGCAAGCUUUAAAUUAUAACAGUUAUGUCUAAACUUGAGAGAGAACUUAAAAUGUGCAAAUUAGGCAGAGCAACUAUUCAUCAUAUCCAUGCUUAAGUUUUAUUUAGAUACAGAUUAGCAUAGCCACUUUAUUUAUUUAUUAAACACACUAAGCAAAAGACAAAUAUUUAUAUAAGUAGAAAAUCUUUAUUUAUUUUUUCAUAGUUUAUGUAUUUUAAUAUAAGUAUAAAGAUAGAUAGAUAGAAAUACUUAUCGAGAUAAAUGGGGGUGCUCUCCCCCAAGCUGAAUUUUGACGUAAUUUCUUUUGACGUAGCUAGCAGGUGGCAGAGGUGUAUUUGAAAGUCAGCAGCAUUCUGACAGCGAUUAGAAUGUCCUCCGUCUGCUAGUCUUCUUGAUUCUUAAAUUCUGUGGAGCUCAAAUAGACAACAAAGCUUGUGAAACUGAUUAAGUGUUAGCAUAAAUAUCUAGCCUUUAUCAUCUUGAGACUCCUUAAUAAUUAUUACUCCCUAUUUUUAUAUUUUUAUUUUAUAAAGCAGAAAAUAAAUAUUUAUUUUAUUUUAUGCCACCACAGUGAAUAUACUUAUGGGUUUUAUGCCAUUCGUAUACUCACAUGGGGCUUAUAUUUUUAUUUUCUUUUUAGGAUAAUACGAACAUAAUUAACUAAGUAAACUAUUUGAAAUAAUUGAAAGGGAAAGGAUAACUACCAAGUUUACCUCUUAGCAAGGCGUUCGGUGUUUUUAAGUCAUCCGAAUGGGACUCUCCAUUUUCUUAAUCGUCCUGAGGUUCGUUGGGUGGCGUAGUCGGUACUUCCGGCAGCGCCUCCUCUUCUUGUAUAGUUAUCUUCAUUUUCCAUACCUGACUCGGUGCUUCAAUCUCCUCUGGAUAAUUCUGUUUAAACUCUACAUCGUCUGACCUUAUCACUUCUCCUUCGUAGUCUGCCCAUCCGUCCCUGAUGAUCUGCCUCCUCUGGUUGCGGUUGCGUCUUUUCCUUACCUGCUUAGAUUCUUCAAUGAUAUAGUUAGGGUCAGUAAAAUAACGGCGUACCUUCUCUGAGGGGAAGUGCAUAUGGACUUCUCCGGUUUCAAUGUAGAUAAUUGCUUUAACAGUGCUGAGGAACGGUCUUCCAAGGAUGAUGGGUGGAUCAUACUCGUCUUCUCCCAUGUCAACAACUUGAAAGUCUGUGUAGACAAAGUGAUCGUCUAUUUUGACUGGGACAUCAGUUACUGUUCCUUUAACUUCUCAAAAUGUCUGAUCUGCCAUCUGGAGCUGAAUGUAUGUUGGUCUUAGUGGCAUGGUUCCGAACAAGAGCCGAUAGGUGCCUGUGGCCAUUAUGUUGACGCCCGAUCCGGUGUCGCAAAUCGUCUUGUAGAAGUUGUAUCCAUUUAUGGAGCAGUAGAUGCUUGGCAUUCCUGGGUCGUCCUUCUUGGUUAAAAACGGUGACUUAAGUUGAUGAUCUUGGCCUCCAUGAACUACAGUGACCAUCUUAGCUGACUCGGUCCACACUUGCUUGUUCCUGUUCCUCCUGUUGGUCCUCUUCCUUGAUUUAUGUCUGGAUUGAUCUGGAAUUUGUGUAGUCUUGUUCUUGAAGAAAAAUGUCUCCUUCUUCCCUUUGACGUAGAAACUGAUCUUGGCAGCACUAGCGUAGAUGAUAGCUCCCGUGGUGUUCAAGAAUGGCCUCCCUAAGAUGAUGGGUGCCCUCUCAUCAUUUCUGGUCUCUACUACUACGAAGUCUGCUGGGGCAUAUAAGGUACCAACUCGAACACAAAGGUUCUUCACUAUUCCUUUU